UGACAGCCCCGUACACAAAAGCGCAUGUGCUGUGAGCUCGAUGAGUAGGGCGGGACACGUGGUAUCCUGUCUGAAUAUGGGGGGACCAUCCUCCAAGGCUAAAUACUCCUGACUGACCGAUAGUGAACCAGUACCGUGAGGGAAAGGCGAAAAGAACCCCGGCGAGGGGAGUGAAAAAGAACCUGAAACCGUGUACGUACAAGCAGUGGGAGCACAGGUUUACCUGUGUGACUGCGUACCUUUUGUAUAAUGGGUCAGCGACUUAUAUUCUGUAGCAAGGUUAACCGAAUAGGGGAGCCGGAGGGAAACCGAGUCUUAAUUGGGCGUUAAGUUGCAGGGUAUAGACCCGAAACCCGGUGAUCUAGCCAUGGGCAGGUUGAAGGUUGGGUAACACUAACUGGAGGACCGAACCGACUAAUGUUGAAAAAUUAGCGGAUGACCUGUGGCUGGGGGUGAAAGGCCAAUCAAACCGGGAGAUAGCUGGUUCUCCCCGAAAGCUAUUUAGGUAGCGCCUCGUGAAUUCAUCUCCGGGGGUAGAGCACUGUUUCGGCUAGGGGGCCAUCCCGGCUUACCAACCCGAUGCAAACUGCGAAUACCGGAGAAUGUUAUCACGGGAGACACACGGCGGGUGCUAACGUCCGUCGUGAAGAGGGAAACAACCCAGACCGCCAGCUAAGGUCCCAAAGUCAUGGUUAAGUGGGAAACGAUGUGGGAAGGCCCAGACAGCCAGGAUGUUGGCUUAGAAGCAGCCAUCAUUUAAAGAAAGCGUAAUAGCUCACUGGUCGAGUCGGCCUGCGCGGAAGAUGUAACGGGGCUAAACCAU
RNAcentral lists this ribosomal RNA (823 nucleotides) under Salmonella enterica. RNAcentral's name for it is "partial 23S ribosomal RNA". It matches the Rfam family "Bacterial large subunit ribosomal RNA", at positions 365 to 1190 of the family's 2925-position model. Lineage: Bacteria; Pseudomonadati; Pseudomonadota; Gammaproteobacteria; Enterobacterales; Enterobacteriaceae. The record is from RNAcentral.